GGCCUGGUGGUGCAAUGGUAGCACACCUUCUUUCAGUAUUGGCGUAGCAUAUGUGCUAGUGGGAGUUCCUUGUUCGUCUCAAGGCCAGGUUG
This is a non-coding RNA of Mycena latifolia, 92 nucleotides long. The record is from the annotation of a GenBank genome assembly. NCBI's taxonomy places the organism in Eukaryota, Fungi, Basidiomycota, Agaricomycetes, Agaricales, Mycenaceae.